This 550-nucleotide ribosomal RNA is filed under the name uncultured bacterium. RNAcentral describes it as "bacterial SSU rRNA". It matches the Rfam family "Bacterial small subunit ribosomal RNA", at positions 355 to 896 of the family's 1533-position model. The record is from RNAcentral.
UAGGGAAUCUUCGGCAAUGGGGGCAACCCUGACCGAGCAACGCCGCGUGAGUGAAGAAGGUUUUCGGAUCGUAAAGCUCUGUUGUAAGUCAAGAACGAGUGUGAGAGUGGAAAGUUCACACUGUGACGGUAGCUUACCAGAAAGGGACGGCUAACUACGUGCCAGCAGCCGCGGUAAUAUGUAGGUCCCGAGCGUUGUCCGGAUUUAUUGGGCGUAAAGCGAGCGCAGGCGGUUUGAUAAGUCUGAAGUUAAAGGCUGUGGCUCAACCAUAGUUCGCUUUGGAAACUGUCAAACUUGAGUGCAGAAGGGGAGAGUGGAAUUCCAUGUGUAGCGGUGAAAUGCGUAGAUAUAUGGAGGAACACCGGUGGCGAAAGCGGCUCUCUGGUCUGUAACUGACGCUGAGGCUCGAAAGCGUGGGGAGCGAACAGGAUUAGAUACCCUGGUAGUCCACGCCGUAAACGAUGAGUGCUAGGUGUUGGAUCCUUUCCGGGAUUCAGUGCCGCAGCUAACGCAUUAAGCACUCCGCCUGGGGAGUACGACCGCAAGGUUG